GGACGAACGCUGGCGGCGUGCUUAACACAUGCAAGUCGAGCGGUAAGGCCCUUUCGGGGGUACGACGAGCGGCGAACGGGUGAGUAACACGUGGGUGACCUGCCCUCAGCUCUGGGAUAAGCCCGGGAAACUGGGUCUAAUACCGGAUAUGACUCCAUGACGCAUGUUGUGGGGUGGAAAGCCUUGUGCGGCUGAGGAUGGGCCCGCGGCCUAUCAGCUUGUUGGUGGGGUGAUGGCCACCAAGGCGACGACGGGUAGCCGGCCUGAGAGGGCGACCGGCCACACUGGGACUGAGACACGGCCCAGACUCCUACGGGAGGGCAGCAGUGGGGAAUCUUGCGCAAUGGGCGAAAGCCUGACGCAGCGACGCCGCGUGAGGGACGACGGCC
RNAcentral lists this ribosomal RNA (389 nucleotides) under uncultured bacterium. Its description in RNAcentral is "bacterial SSU rRNA". It matches the Rfam family "Bacterial small subunit ribosomal RNA", at positions 27 to 416 of the family's 1533-position model. The record is from RNAcentral.